UUGUCUUUUAAUUGAGGGCUGGAAUGAAGGGUUGGACGAGGCAUUAGCUUUCUUUGAUUUAAUUUAGGAAUUUAAUUUUUGAGUUAAAAAGCUUAAAUUUAUUUAUGGGACGAGAAGACCCUAUAGAUCUUUAUAAUUUUAUGUUUUAAUAAUUUAGGGAUUUAUAUAUUUUAAGCAGAUGAAUUAUUUUGUUGGGGUGACUGUAGAAUUUAAAUAACUUCUAUUUUUUAUUUUCAUUAAUUAAUGUUUUUUUGAUCCAUAAUUUAUGAUUAGAAGAAUAAGUUACCUUAGGGAUAACAGCGUAAUUUCCUCGGAGAGUUCAUAUUGAUGAGGGAGUUUGCGACCUCGAUGUUGGAUUAAAAUAAGUUGUGGAUGCAGGAGUCUAUUUACUAGGUCUGUUCGACCUUUGAAUUUUUACAUGAUCUGAGUU
Molecule: ribosomal RNA, 430 nt
Filed under: Triatoma pseudomaculata
Lineage: Eukaryota; Metazoa; Arthropoda; Insecta; Hemiptera; Reduviidae
Description: partial 16S ribosomal RNA
Rfam family: Bacterial large subunit ribosomal RNA (bases 293-430)
Source: RNAcentral